This 513-nucleotide ribosomal RNA is filed under the name Malassezia restricta. RNAcentral describes it as "partial large subunit ribosomal RNA". It matches the Rfam family "Eukaryotic large subunit ribosomal RNA", at positions 104 to 621 of the family's 3401-position model. The record is from RNAcentral. Lineage: Eukaryota; Fungi; Basidiomycota; Malasseziomycetes; Malasseziales; Malasseziaceae.
AGAGCUCAAAUUUGAAAGCUGGCGUCUUCGGCGUCCGCGUUGUAAUCUCGAGACGUGUUUUCCGUGCGGCUCUAUGGACAAGUCCCUUGGAACAGGGCAUCGUAGAGGGUGAAAAUCCCGUACUUGCCAUGGAAGUACCGUGCUUUGUGAUACACGCUCCAAGAGUCGAGUAGUUUGGGAUUGCUGCUCAAAGUGGGUGGUAGACUCCAUCUAAAGCUAAAUAUCGGGGAGAGACCGAUAGCGAACAAGUACCGUGAGGGAAAGAUGAAAAGCACUUUGGAAAGAGAGUUAAAAGUACGUGAAAUUGUCGAAAGGGAAGCACUUGAAGUCAGCCAUGCUGCUUGAGACUCAGCCUGGCUUUUGCUUGGUGUAUUUCUCGGUAGCAAGCCAGCAUUGGUUUGUGUCGUCGGAGAAGCGUAUGGGGAAUGUGGCAUCCUCGGAUGUGUUAUAGCCCUGUGCAGGAUACGACGACGUAGACCAAGGAACGCAGUGUGCCCUCUGGGCGGGUCUUCA